CAAAAUGCUGCCCAUGUGGCAUCUGUCACCCCAUUGAUUGCUGGGGUUGAUUUGGCUGAUCUAACUGGCUAGGCGGGUAUCCCCUUCCUCCCUCACUGCUCCACAUGGGUCCCUUCCAAAGCUGCGUGCUUGGUCAAAGAGGACGACCAUCCCCACAAGAGGAGGGCUGUUCUUGGGUCAAGGGUAUACAAGUAGCUGUGCUACCCUGCUAAAACCUCCAAGUACACUCUCAAAAUGCUACUAGAGGUAAGUGAUUCUGGGCUUGGACUAGC
This 272-nucleotide small nuclear RNA is filed under the name Carlito syrichta (Philippine tarsier). RNAcentral describes it as "7SK RNA (ENSTSYG00000019942.2)". It matches the Rfam family "7SK RNA". From Rfam's summary of the family: 7SK was discovered as an abundant small nuclear RNA in the mid-70s but a possible function has only recently been suggested. The record is from RNAcentral. Lineage: Eukaryota; Metazoa; Chordata; Mammalia; Primates; Tarsiidae.